Molecule: ribosomal RNA, 461 nt
Filed under: uncultured bacterium
Lineage: Bacteria
Description: bacterial SSU rRNA
Rfam family: Bacterial small subunit ribosomal RNA
Source: RNAcentral
UACGGAAGGCAGCAGUGGGGAAUAUUGCACAAUGGGCGAAAGCCUGAUGCAGCUAUGCCGCGUGUAUGAAGAAGGCCUUAGGGUUGUAAAGUACUUUCAUCGGGGAGGAAAAAAACAAAACUAAUAAUUUUAUUUCUUGACGUUACCCGAAAAAGAAGCACCGGCUAACUCCGUGCCAGCAGCCGCGGUAAUACGGAGGGUGCUAGCGUUAAUCAGAAUUACUGGGCGUAAAGAGCACGUAGGUGGUUUUUUUAAAGUCAGAUGUGAAAAUCCCUGGGCUUAACCUAGGAACUGCAUUUUGAAACUGAAAUACUAGAGUAUCGUAGAGGGAGGUAGAAUUCUAGGUGUAGCGGUGAAAUGCGUAGAUAUCUGGAGGAAUACCUGUGGCGAAAAACGGCCUCCUAAACCGAAUACUGACACUGAGGUGCGAAAGCUGGGGAGCAAACCAGGGAUUAGAUACC